This is a long non-coding RNA of Mangifera indica (mango), 849 nucleotides long. RefSeq lists it as uncharacterized. The transcript is spliced from 2 exons. Lineage: Eukaryota; Viridiplantae; Streptophyta; Magnoliopsida; Sapindales; Anacardiaceae. The record is from RefSeq and is a predicted model, not a curated record.
UUAGCACGUAGUAGAACUGCAGAAGGCUGAAACUGCCAGAAAAUUUGUGACAAUGGCUACAGUGCUCACUCACCAUCAGUGUUAUUUAUUUAAGUUGAUUAUCUGCUAUGUUUGGAUUUCUCAAUUCAUUUUAAUGGACUUUUAAGUUGUCUUUGGUUUAAUCUUUUUUAAACAAAAAUGAAAGAUUAAUAUUUCGAUAGAUUAACUGGAUCAUCCUUUUGGUGUUUGAUCAAGAGAUUAGGGUUUGAUUCAGUUGUAUCAAUCAUAUAAAUCCUCUUAUGACAAUGGAGCUGGAGCCUCAACCGCUAUGCAAACUGAUUUUUUGUUUGGUUUUUAAUUGAUAGUAUUGGGCUGCUACGAUGUGAUUUUUUUUUUUUUUGGUUAAAAUUUUCUCAAAGAUUCUUAGUAGUGAAAUUUCAACCUCUUCUUCAGGAGAAGAAGGCGGUGGCGGUGAAAUCCACAAGAGCGAGGAGGAAGGAGCAACGUCAACCAAGGAGCUUGGUGAAGAAAAGGAUUUGAUGAAUUUUACAAGUAUAUAUUGGUGUUUGAGAUAUGUAUAUUCUUCAGAAUGUUUAUGGGUUUGGUAAAAGCAAACGAUAUGCAUGUUGGUUCAGUGAAUUAAGCUGGGAUACCGUGAAUUCUGAAUUCAGUGGCAGGAACAUAAUGGAGGUGCAGAGGAACUGACUGAAAGAAACGGAGGUAUAUUAAGAAUGUAAGUCCUGAUCAUAAGUAUAGUGAGCAGCACAUUCGAGAGGUCGCCAGCAUUCAAUUGUUUUCUCUUCUGUUUACUGUUUGCAAUACAAAAUUGUUAUGUGAAAUUAAUGCAAUUUCAUUGACUUGAGAAAUAAA